GAUGAACGCUGGCGGCGUGCCUAAUACAUGCAAGUCGAACGAAUCUUCUUCGGAAGAUGAGUGGCGAACGGGUGAGUAAUACAUAGGUAACCUGCCCCUGUGCGGGGGAUAACAGGAGGAAACUCCUGCUAAUACCGCAUAGCCAUGAGCACCGCAUGGAGCUCAUGCCAAAUAUCCUUUCGGGGAUAGCGCAGGGAUGGACCUAUGGCGCGUUAGCUGGUUGGCGGGGCAACGGCCCACCAAGGCAACGAUGCGUAGCCGGCCUGAGAGGGCGGACGGCCACAUUGGGACUGAGACACGGCCCAGACUCCUACGGGAGGCAGCAGUAGGGAAUUUUCGGCAAUGGGGGAAACCCUGACCGAGCAACGCCGCGUGAGCGAAGAAGCCCUUCGGGUCGUAAAGCUCUGUUGUAAAGGAAGAACGGCGCAUACAGGAAAUGGUAUGCGAGUGACGGUACUUUACCAGAAAGCCACGGCUAACUACGUGCCAGCCGCCGCAGUAA
RNAcentral lists this ribosomal RNA (502 nucleotides) under uncultured bacterium. RNAcentral describes it as "partial 16S ribosomal RNA". It matches the Rfam family "Bacterial small subunit ribosomal RNA", at positions 28 to 523 of the family's 1533-position model. The record is from RNAcentral.